This 207-nucleotide non-coding RNA is filed under the name Melioribacter sp. Lineage: Bacteria; Pseudomonadati; Ignavibacteriota; Ignavibacteria; Ignavibacteriales; Melioribacteraceae. The record is from RNAcentral.
AGUUCUUUACAAUUUUGUGGUGUUACAACUUAAUAGGGAAACCGGUGGUUCGUUAUAUCUAAGGAAGCGAAGAAUCCGGUGCUGACGCGCAACUGUAAGAGACGCUAAAAGUUCGUUUAACACAAAGCCACUGUCCCGAUAAAUCGGGACGGGAAGGCGUUAUUCGAUGUCUCAAGCCAGGAGACCUGCCGCAAAAAUUUAAUCAAC